UGGAUAACUUUGGGCUGAUCGCACGAUCUUGUAUCGGCGACGUUUCUUUUAAGUGUCUGCCUUAUCAACUGUCGAUGGUAGGUUAUGCGCCUACCAUGGUCGUAACGGGUGACGGGGAAUCAGGGUUCGAUUCCGGAGAGGGAGCCUGAGAAACGGCUACCACAUCCAAGGAAGGCAGCAGGCGCGCAAAUUACCCACUCCCGGCAAGGGGAGGUAGUGACGAAAAAUAACGAUGCGGGACUCUUUUGAGGCCCCGCAAUCGGAAUGAGUACACUCUAA
This 279-nucleotide ribosomal RNA is filed under the name Forsteropsalis nigra. Its description in RNAcentral is "partial 18S ribosomal RNA". It matches the Rfam family "Eukaryotic small subunit ribosomal RNA", at positions 253 to 528 of the family's 1831-position model. Lineage: Eukaryota; Metazoa; Arthropoda; Arachnida; Opiliones; Neopilionidae. The record is from RNAcentral.